This 468-nucleotide ribosomal RNA is filed under the name uncultured bacterium. RNAcentral describes it as "partial 16S ribosomal RNA". It matches the Rfam family "Bacterial small subunit ribosomal RNA", at positions 28 to 507 of the family's 1533-position model. The record is from RNAcentral.
AACGAACGCUGGCGGCGUGCUUAACACAUGCAAGUCGAACGGAAAGGCCCUGCUUUUGUGGGGUGCUCGAGUGGCGAACGGGUGAGUAACACGUGAGUAACCUGCCCUUGACUUUGGGAUAACUUCAGGCAACUGGGGCUAAUACCGGAUAGGAGCUCCUGCUGCAGGGUGGGGGUUGGAAAGUUUCGGCGGUUGGGGAUGGACUCGCCGCGUAUCAGCUUGUUGGGUGGGUAGUGGAUUACCAAGGCUUUGACGGGUAGCCGGGCUGAGAGGGUGACCGGCCACGUCAGGACGGAGAUGCGGCACAGCCUACUACGGGACGGAGGGGUGGGGAAGGUUGUACAAGGGGCGGGAGCCUGGUGCAGCAACGCCGCGCGGGGGAAGAGGGCAUGCGGGUAGGAAUGCGCAGUCGCCUGUGACGAAACGUGAGUGACGGUAACGGGUAAAUAAGCACCGGCUAACUACGUG